UUCCCACAUUUUCAGUUUAUUGUUAGAGGAGUUUUUCAUUUUAUUUAUUUUUAUAUUAUUUAUAAAUUGACGGGCCAAGGAACUUCACUCAAACUCGAAGAGUUUUUCAGCCGGUGUCUCAAUUUUGUUAAGCCUAUAAUGGAUAUAUGCACGGACAUUCACUUAACUUACAAUCAUUAAAGUUUAAGAACAUACUUUGUAUUUUCAUUUAAAACAUUAAUAAUAGCCUUAAAAUGUCUAGGUUACUAUGGAACUUUGAAUUAUGUGCUCAGUAUAUUUCAUGUAAGUGGGUGAUUGGAAGAAUUGAGUUUUUAUCCAAAAGUAGUUGCUCUUAUUAACCAACAAAGAGCACAAUCUUGGAGCUCCACUAAAGAUAGUGUUAAGAACUAUCGAAUUGGUAUAUUGUACAGUAAGUAAUAUACUUUGCUACAAUUCUUGGUGGUUUUCUGGCCAGGUAAACUUACAUGUGACAUAUGCCAAGCAGUGUUUGCUCAUACAUCAGGAUUAAGCCGACAUCGACGCUUCAAACACAGUUCAAGAAAGAGCUUGCAUUGUCCGAGUUGUGGUCAGGUUUACCAGCGUACAGGAAGCCUUAUUAACCACCGCAGAGUGGCUCAUGGCCAUGAUAUACCUGAAUCUAUACUUAGUCUGGCAUAUGGUCAAGAACUAGAUGGAGAAUAACUCAAGUUACAUUAUUUAACUUCUAGGGUGUGUUAUAAAUUCAUACUACAGCAAUUAAGCUUCUGAUUGAAAACUGAAAAUUGAUGCUUCAAACUAUGAAACUUGAGCUUCUCAAGUUAGAUGGUAAUUACUACAAAGUACUUUAUCUUGUGAUGUAGAAGUUGACAGCAGCUAAUUCAUAGUAUGGUUCCUUAAACUAAUCAAGAACUGAGGGAUUGACUAAUGAAUACUAUAACCCUUUAAUUACUGAUAUAGAACAGGAAAAUGAUUAAAGCAAAUUAUGGCACUUUAACCUGUGGUGUAGAAUAAAAUGGUGAUUAAACCAAGCUCAAACUAUGAAAUUUAUUUUUUGAUUUAGAACUUUAAACUCGUACUGAACUAUGGCAGUUUCAGUUCUGUUCUACUAACCAAAUUAUACUACCUGUAUGAUGGAUAAUUUUAACCAUCUGAAUGGAUAAUAGUCAAAAUUAAAAUAAUAUUAAAAACCUUAACCCAAAAAAAACUAUUUUUGACAGUACAAAAACAUUAAUCAUAGUAUGAAAUGAAGAAUGUUUUUUUACCAGUGCAAAAUCAGUAAUAGGGAAAAAAAAAAACUCAGAAUUUUUUUGUCAGCACAAAGUUAUUAAGCAUAAUAGGAAAGAUCUUCGACUGGACAGAAAUGUAAUUGUAGUAAGAAACUAAAAAUGAAUUUUAUACAGUUUAAAAACUACCCAUAAUGAGAAGUUAAUAUUGAAUGAAAAAAUAAGUAUCCUUCUGGGGUAUUUGAAUUUAAUAUUGUUUUACCUUUAAUUGCGUUUUGGACCAGUCCAUUAUGAAUUUUAAUUGCACAAAGGAAUUUUAUUUUAAAAUUUGCAUACUCUUUGGCCACAUAUCUAUAUAAUUAUGUAGUUCUUUGUAAAUUUGUUUAAGAUUAAAUUUAGAGAGAGACAUUAAAGAACAUUUACAUGUAAUUUUAAAUAAAUUUAUUUAAAAAAAAAUAGAAAGAUGGAUUGUUUUAGCUAUAAUAGGAAGACACUUUCAUUAAGGUGUUGUCAUUCCAUAUUGAAUUAUGUUCCCUGUUAAACUUGUAAUUAACAUUCUUUGGUAAUGUACAAAUGUAUUGAAAGGAUGUGCAUAGCACAUGAAUGUGUUAACAGACUAAGAAAAUCUUGAAGUUGUGUUUUGCUCUAUUGGUCACAUGAUGUUACAAAUCUUAGUGUUAUAUGCAAAAUAUGUAAAGUAUCUAAUUUAUGUAUAGGUCUUAAAAUCACCACUUAUUUUAGCACUUUUGCUAGUUAUGAAAGUAGAUGUAUUUAUACACCUUCCUUGCAUAUGUGCCAAAAUUAUUUACUUUGUGUAUUUUUUAUAGAUUUGAGAACAAUAAAUAUGCACAGUGA
Molecule: long non-coding RNA, 2057 nt
Organism: Limulus polyphemus (Atlantic horseshoe crab)
Lineage: Eukaryota; Metazoa; Arthropoda; Merostomata; Xiphosura; Limulidae
Exons: 3
Source: RefSeq, a predicted model, not a curated record